RNAcentral lists this ribosomal RNA (497 nucleotides) under uncultured bacterium. RNAcentral's name for it is "partial 16S ribosomal RNA". It matches the Rfam family "Bacterial small subunit ribosomal RNA", at positions 28 to 507 of the family's 1533-position model. The record is from RNAcentral.
GAUGAACGCUGGCGGCGUGCCUAAUACAUGCAAGUCGAGCGAACGGACGAGAAGCUUGCUUCUCUGAUGUUAGCGGCGGACGGGUGAGUAACACGUGGAUAACCUACCUAUAAGACUGGGAUAACUUCGGGAAACCGGAGCUAAUCCCGGAUAAUCUUUUGAACCGCAUGGUUCAAAGGUGAAAGACGGUGUUGCUGUCUCGUCUAGCUGCAUCCGCGCUGCAUUAGCUAGUUGGUGAGGUAACAGCUUACCAAGGGAACGAUGCAUAGCCGACCUGAGAGGGUGAUCGGCCACACUGGAACUGAGACACGGUCCAGACUCCUACGAGAGGCAGCAGUAGGGAAUCCUCCGCAAAGGGCGGAAGCCUGACGGAGCAACGCCGCGUGAGUGAUGAAGGUCUUCGGAUCGUAAAACUCUGUUAUUAGGGAAGAACAUAUGUGUAAGUAACUGUGCACAUCUUGACGGUACCUAAUCAGAAAGCCACGGCUAACUACGUG